Molecule: unclassified non-coding RNA, 356 nt
Filed under: Hevea brasiliensis (rubber tree)
Lineage: Eukaryota; Viridiplantae; Streptophyta; Magnoliopsida; Malpighiales; Euphorbiaceae
Source: RNAcentral
UCUGUUUGGAUGAUGCGCAACAUAAUUCAAACAGACUUGUAGAAAGGACAGAAUUUGUCAUAUGGAGUAAAUGCAUUCUGAGCAAGAUAGUCUUCUCUCAAAAGCUUUGCAGUCUCCAAAAUGAUCUUAUCUGUCUCAGCUAAAGCAUCCUUUCCAACAAGCUGGACUAUUUCAUUUAGAUCAUCCUCUCUCUGUAGCACUUCACGGGCCUUUGUCCUGAUGUUAAUAAAAUCUGGAUCAAAUUGAUCAUAGAAAGACUCCAGUGCUGAUGAGUACUUUGAGUAGGAAAUAAGCCAAUUAACAGAAGGGAAAUGCUUCCUCUGGGCGAGUUUCUUGUCCAAACCCCAGAAGACCUG